Molecule: ribosomal RNA, 417 nt
Filed under: uncultured bacterium
Lineage: Bacteria
Description: bacterial SSU rRNA
Rfam family: Bacterial small subunit ribosomal RNA
Source: RNAcentral
UAUGUAAAAGGUGGCUAUGCUACCGCUUUUGGAUGGGCCCGCGGCGCAUUAGCUAGUUGGUGGGGUAAAGGCUUACCAAGGCAAUGAUGCGUAGCCGAACUGAGAGGUUGAUCGGCCACAUUGGGACUGAGACACGGCCCAAACUCCUACGGGAGGCAGCAUUAGGGAAUCUUCCACAAUGGGCGAAAGCCUGAUGGAGCAACGCCGCGUGGGUGAAGAAGGUCUUCGGAUCGUAAAACCCUGUUGUUAGAGAAGAAAGUGCGUGAGAGUAACUGUUCACGUUUCGACGGUAUCUAACCAUAAAGCCACGGCUAACUACGUGCCAGCAGCCGCGGUAAUACGUAUGUGGCAAGCGUUAUCCGGAUUUAUUGGGCGUAAAGGGAACGCAGGCGGUCUUUUAAGUCUGAUGUGAAAGCC